AUGGGAACGCGAAGAACCUUACCUAGACUUGACAUCUCCUGAAUAGUGUAGAGAUACAUGAAGCCCUUCGGGCGAGGAAGACAGGUGGUGCAUGGUUGUCGUCAGCUCGUGUCGUGAGAUGUUGGGUUAAGUCCCGCAACGAGCGCAACCCUUAUCAUUAGUUGCUACCAUUUAGUUGAGCACUCUAGUGAGACUGCCCGGGUUAACCGGGAGGAAGGCGGGGAUGGACGUCAAAUCAUCAUGCCCCUUAUGUCUAGGGCUACACACGUGCUACAAUGGUGAGAACAACGAGAUGCAAUACCGCGAGGUGGAGCAAAACUUCAAAACUCAUCUCAGUUCGGAUUGUAGGCUGAAACUCGCCUACAUGAAGUUGGAGUUGCUAGUAAUCGCGAAUCAGAAUGUCGCGGUGAAUACGUUACCCGGGUCUU
This 428-nucleotide ribosomal RNA is filed under the name uncultured bacterium. RNAcentral describes it as "bacterial SSU rRNA". It matches the Rfam family "Bacterial small subunit ribosomal RNA", at positions 954 to 1382 of the family's 1533-position model. The record is from RNAcentral.